GCGGACAUGACGUGUGGCUGUCGUAAAAACCCUAUUUGUAAACAACCAGCCCUUUAACUCGGGGCUGCGUCAUAAACACGGCGCGCUUGGAAGACCACGAUGUCAUCUUCCUUCUGUCAGGAGGAUCCAAGUGAAGCUACAGGAGUUUCAUUAACGUCAACAACUUGGACCAAACAGUUUGUUUUGCUUGAUGAAGAGCAGGAAGGGCAGCCUGGAGAGAAAGAGAAGCCGGGUUGAGCCCACUACCAUCAUCCACGUACCACGAGGAAGAUGAGGGAGAGAAAUGAUCCUACCAUUAAAGAGACUGUGAAAAGAACGUUGAGAACAUCACCACUCUACAGGAAGACACAGUCCAGUAAUGGGUGUCAGAAGUUCAGUAGUGAACGACAGGUACUGUGGAAAAAUAUGUGUCAUUGUUGUACAAUGUCCUUUGACUCUGUUUAAACAAGGUUAACACAAAAAGGUUUGAUUGUAAACUGAUAUCGGUAUGAAUUCAUGUUAUUCUCCUCGUCAAAAGAAACAAACAAUCCAAAUUACCUGCAGAAAGCCGUUGAUGGACGCUUCAGCUGCAUCGUCAGACUGGCAGUACUGAUGCAUUUACUGAGACGGGACGUGAGGGCCUACUCUGCGUGCUCAGAGUUCAAGCCCAGCAGGCUGCAGCGGGCCUGACAUAUUCUGGAACAGCAGCACAGUCUUUGGAUGACUCCUCUGAAGAUGAAAACAUGGCGAGUUCUUCUCAAGAGAAGCAGUACAGGUGUGCCUCAGCUCCACGGUCCCUCCUGCAGCCUCCGCUCCUGAUGCUAACCUCAUGUCUCCAUCACACCAAGCAGCAGACCUGGAUUGACAGACCUUUCUCCAGAGCUGCCCCCUCCCUCUGAAACCCCCCUCUCCAAAACACUAUUUGUGUAGUUUUUAAAGUAUUUUUUGCAUGAGAAUUGUUGAUCAUAACAUUUCCAGCAGAUGCCUUAAUAUAAUGUUU
Molecule: long non-coding RNA, 979 nt
Organism: Pleuronectes platessa (European plaice)
Lineage: Eukaryota; Metazoa; Chordata; Actinopteri; Pleuronectiformes; Pleuronectidae
Exons: 5
Source: RefSeq, a predicted model, not a curated record